RNAcentral lists this unclassified non-coding RNA (520 nucleotides) under uncultured Glomus. RNAcentral's name for it is "bacterial SSU rRNA". It matches the Rfam family "Eukaryotic small subunit ribosomal RNA", at positions 569 to 1091 of the family's 1831-position model. Lineage: Eukaryota; Fungi; Glomeromycota; Glomeromycetes; Glomerales; Glomeraceae. RNAcentral also lists the same sequence under 1 other name. The record is from RNAcentral.
AGCAGCCGCGGUAAUUCCAGCUCCAAUAGCGUAUAUUAAAGUUGUUGCAGUUAAAAAGCUCGUAGUUGAACCUUAGGCCCGUGUGGGCGGUCCGUCCUCAGGGCGAGCACUGCUCCGUCGCGGGUCUCACCUUCUGGCGAGCGUGGAUGCCAUUUAUUUGGUGUCCGCGGGAACCAGGACCUUUACCUUGAAAAAUUAGAGUGCUCAAAGCGGGCUCCGACGCUUGAAUACAUUAGCAUGGAAUAAUGAAAUAGGACGAUGGUUCUAUUUUGUUGGUUUCCGGGACCGUCGUAAUGAUUAAUAGGGAUAGUUGGGGGCAUUCGUAUUCAAUUGUCAGAGGUGAAAUUCUUGGAUUUAUUGAAGACGAACUACUGCGAAAGCAUUUGCCGAGGAUGUUUUCAUUAAUCAAGAACGAAAGUUGGGGGAUCGAAGACAAUCAGAUACCGUCGUAGUCUCAACCAUAAACUAUGCCGACUGGGAAUCGGGCGAUGUUACCUUUACGACUCGCUCGGCGCCCCGA